RNAcentral lists this long non-coding RNA (536 nucleotides) under Heterocephalus glaber (naked mole-rat). Its description in RNAcentral is "lncRNA (ENSHGLG00100050633.1)". Lineage: Eukaryota; Metazoa; Chordata; Mammalia; Rodentia; Bathyergidae. The record is from RNAcentral.
GGCGGUGGCGCCCAGGCACCAGUGAGCACCUGAGUGCCCUCCAGCUUGCCCCGGGCUAGGUGUUUGGCCUCUGAAAGACCCCUUGUUGGAGACAGCUGUCAGGCCCCGGAAACCCCGCUCGUCCAGCAGGCGCUGGCUUCCUGCGUCAGUCUCCUGUGAGGCCCGCUCCAUGGAGCUGUGGACAAGACGGAACGUUUCUCCGGAGGCAAGGCUGGGGUCUAGCACCAGGCCACGGCUAUCACCCUUCCUCAGGGCCAGGGCCACUUGUGAGCCCCCCUUCCCUGCACCUCCGGGGUCUACUCCCCGUGCUGUCUCAGUGGAGGCGAGGCGGAUGGGCGGCUUGAAGGAGGCUGCCUCUGACAUCGAGUCACCAGCACCAGGCCUCAAAGCAAUGGAGCCAGCCAGCAAUGGACUGAAACCUCUGAAACCAUGAGCCUGAAUGAACCCUUUUCUCAUGCUGAGUUGAUGAUCUCAAGUAUUUUGUCACAGCAACAGCAAAAACAUCUGGCAUUUGGAAGACGCUGAAACGCUUCUUC